UCCUACGGGAGGCAGCAGUGGGGAAUUUUCCGCAAUGGGCGAAAGCCUGACGGAGCAAUACCGCGUGAGGGAGGAAGGCUCUUGGGUCGUAAACCUCUUUUCUCAGGGAAGAAAAGAAUGACGGUACCUGAGGAAUAAGCAUCGGCUAACUCCGUGCCAGCAGCCGCGGUAAUACGGAGGAUGCAAGCGUUAUCCGGAAUGAUUGGGCGUAAAGCGUCCGCAGGUGGCUAUGUAAGUCUGCUGUUAAAGAGUCUAGCUCAACUAGAUAAAAGCAGUGGAAACUACAUGGCUAGAGUGCGUUCGGGGCAGAGGGAAUUCCUGGUGUAGCGGUGAAAUGCGUAGAGAUCAGGAAGAACACCGGUGGCGAAAGCGCUCUGCUAGGCCGCAACUGACACUGAGGGACGAAAGCUAGGGGAGCGAAUGGGAUUAGAUACCCCAGUAGUCCUAGCCGUAAACGAUGGAUACUAGGCGUGGCUUGUAUCGACCCGAGCCGUGCCGUAGCUAACGCGUUAAGUAUCCCGCCUGGGGAGUACGCACGCAAGUGUGAAACUCAAAGGAAUUGACGGGG
RNAcentral lists this ribosomal RNA (568 nucleotides) under uncultured Gloeotrichia sp. RNAcentral describes it as "bacterial SSU rRNA". It matches the Rfam family "Bacterial small subunit ribosomal RNA", at positions 337 to 918 of the family's 1533-position model. Lineage: Bacteria; Bacillati; Cyanobacteriota; Cyanophyceae; Nostocales; Gloeotrichiaceae. The record is from RNAcentral.